This 301-nucleotide ribosomal RNA is filed under the name uncultured bacterium. Its description in RNAcentral is "partial 16S ribosomal RNA". It matches the Rfam family "Bacterial small subunit ribosomal RNA", at positions 509 to 807 of the family's 1533-position model. The record is from RNAcentral.
CAGCCGCCGCGGGAAUACGUAGGUGGCAAGCGUUGUCCGGAAUUAUUGGGCGUAAAGGGCUCGCAGGCGGUUUCUUAAGUCUGAUGUGAAAGCCCCCGGCUCAACCGGGGAGGGUCAUUGGAAACUGGGAAACUUGAGUGCAGAAGAGGAGAGUGGAAUUCCACGUGUAGCGGUGAAAUGCGUAGAGAUGUGGAGGAACACCAGUGGCGAAGGCGACUCUCUGGUCUGUAACUAACGCUGAGGAGCGAAAGCGUGGGGAGCGAACAGGAUUAGAUACCCCCGUAGUCCCUGUCUCUUAUAC